GGGGAAAAAGGCCUCUUGCCUCUUUUGCCUUCCUCUACACAAAGGACGCUGUAGCCUAGCAGCACAUUUAGCUGGCAAACACAGAGGCAAGUGACUAGAAAUAAUCUGCUACUUCCCCAACAGACGGACCACAGCCCCUUUUUCUUUUCUCUCUCUCUCUCUCUUUUUUUUCCCUCUGUCGUGUACCCUAACAGCUAACUAGAAAACCUAGUGACCAAAAAGUUAGGGACUGCAGCAUAGCAGAGUCAGGGAAAGGAUUGAUGACCAGUGGCUUGAGAGAAAGACACAGACACACACAUGGGAUUUAAACAGCCUCAGGUCGCCACCUAACCCACUAGAGAGGAAAUUGAAGGGCAACCUAGCAGCCUUGGGCUGUAUUUGCAGUGGGUGACAGCACCCCCAACCCCACGCCCUGUUCUGCGGCAAGCUGUGAAACAGGAUAGAGAAGUGCCAGUGGGGGUGAAACAGGAGGCUGUGCAAAGACCGAGUGGAGCCAACUGUACACAGGACUGGGAGCAGCGCCGGGCUUUCCCUGCCUGAGGGCGCCACAGCAACCCAUGGGGUCACUCAGAAGGCUGAGACUGGAGGAUCACUGCAAGGUCAAGGCCAGCCUGGGCUACAUAGUGAGUUCAGGGCCAGCCUGAACUAUCCUAUCCCUCUUAAAUUCCCCCCCAAGGUCCCAAAGAUGAGGACUCCAGUAAGGUACCCAGUGGAAGCGCCUCUCAGCAGGCAUCGGCCGACUUCAGGAGGCUCCUGAUCAACAGAAGCAAGACUGUACAGCUGGACCAUCUUCAAGGAGACUGGAAUUAGACUUCCUCUUUUGAUCUGAAGACCAUGAAAAAAUUUGAGGAUAUGUUUCUAAACCAUUACAGAAAUCUUCGAGAAGAAAUGGACAGCAAGCAAAGACACUGUGGAACAAAGUACACUGGCUGGAGAGGGAAAUAAAUUCACAUGAGGUUCGAUAUAAGCACCACUCUCUGGCUCUGAUGCCUCUUUGAUGUGGAGGGCAUGAUGAGCACCUGUGAUCCUAGCACCCCAGAGGCUGAGGCAGGAGGAUCUCCAUGAGUUUGAGGCCAGCCUGAACUGCAAAGUGAGACCCUGUCUGAAGAAAAUAACCAAAAUAAAC
This 1126-nucleotide long non-coding RNA is filed under the name Heterocephalus glaber (naked mole-rat). RNAcentral's name for it is "lncRNA (ENSHGLG00000038679.1)". Lineage: Eukaryota; Metazoa; Chordata; Mammalia; Rodentia; Bathyergidae. The record is from RNAcentral.